Molecule: ribosomal RNA, 497 nt
Filed under: uncultured bacterium
Lineage: Bacteria
Description: partial 16S ribosomal RNA
Rfam family: Bacterial small subunit ribosomal RNA
Source: RNAcentral
GAUGAACGCUGGCGGCGUGCCUAAUACAUGCCAGUCGAGCGAACGGACGAGAAGCUUGCUUCUCUGAUGUUAGCGGCGGACGGGUGAGUAACACGUGGAUAACCUACCUAUAAGACUGGGAUAACUUCGGGAAACCGGAGCUAAUACCGGAUGAUAUUCUGAACCGCAUGGUUCAAAAGUGAAAGACGGUCUUUCUGUCACUUAUAGAUGGAUCCUCGCUGCAUUAGCUAGUUGGUAAGGUAACGGCUUACCACGGCAACGAUGCAUAGCCGACCUGAGAGGGUGAUAGGCCACACGGGAGCUGAGACACGGUCCAGACUACUACGGGAGGCAGCAGAAGGGAAUCGUCCGCAAUGGGCGAAAGCAUGACGGAGCAACGCCGCGUGAGUGAUGAAGGUCUUCGGAGCGUAAAACUCUGUUAUUAGGGAAGAACAUAUGUGUAAGUAACUGUGCACAUCUUGACGGUACCUAAUCAGAAAGCCACGGCUAACUACGUG